RNAcentral lists this microRNA precursor (84 nucleotides) under Ovis aries (sheep). RNAcentral's name for it is "miRNA (ENSOARG00000023269.1)". Lineage: Eukaryota; Metazoa; Chordata; Mammalia; Artiodactyla; Bovidae. The record is from RNAcentral.
ACUGAGUUGGCCCAAAAAGUUCAUUUGGGUUUUUCCAUUAUAUCUUACAGGAAAACCCAAAUGAACUUAUUGGCCAAACUCAAU